CCCUCCUGCACCCCUGUAGUCCAGAAGGAAUAGUAAAGAGUGAGCCGUGCCUGUGGGCUGGAGGGUGGAUAGUACGCCUGCGCCACUCGCUAUGGCAGGGCAAUACAUGUGACUGCUGAAAAUGCUUUGCCUUGGAGCCACAAUGGGGAGGCAUAAAGUAUACAUCCUAUUCCAGAACUUAACCUAAUACCAACUUCCUCCUGCCUCAAGGACCAAAGAGAGAAGUGGACAACGCUUUUCAUAAUUUUCCGGAACUUGGAAGAGAAUACCUAAGGCUUGGAGUCCAAAUGGAGACCUGAAUAUGAACUCCAUUCAUCCUCACUCCCCAAUACCUGUCUUUCAUUUAAAAGACCUUGCAAAAGGGUGUCUUCUUUGUUAUUAUAAAGCUAUUUAUAAAACGCAUGGGUAAUUUUUCAA
Molecule: long non-coding RNA, 417 nt
Organism: Antechinus flavipes (yellow-footed antechinus)
Lineage: Eukaryota; Metazoa; Chordata; Mammalia; Dasyuromorphia; Dasyuridae
Exons: 2
Source: RefSeq, a predicted model, not a curated record